GGGGGGAAGAAGGCGGUAGCGUUAACAACGCUAUCGAUUGACGUUACCCGCAGAAGGAGCAGCGGCACACUCUGUGCCAGCAGCCGCGGUAAUAUGGAGGGGGCAAGCGUUAAUCGGAAUUACUGGGCGUAAAGCGUAUGCAGGCGGUUUGUUAAGUCAGAUGUGAAAUCCCCAAGCUUAACUUGGGAACUGCAUUUGAAACUGGCAGGCUAGAGUCUCGUAGAGGGGGGUAGAAUUCCAGGUGUAGCGGUGAAAUGCGUAGCGAUCUGGAGGAAUACCGGUGGCGAAGGCGGCCCCCUGGACGAAAACUGACGCUCAGGUACGAAAGCGUGGGGAGCAAACAGGAUUAGAUACCCUGGUAGUCCACGCUGUAAACGAUGUCGAUUUGAAGGUUGUGGCCUUGAGGCGUGGCUUUCAGAGCUAACGCGUUAAAUCGACCGCCUGGGGAGUACGGCCGCAAGGUUGAAAUUCAAAUGAAUUAACGGGGGCCCACACAAGCGGUGGAGCAUGUGGUUUAAUUCGAUGCAACGCGAAGAAUCUUACCUACUCUUGACGUCCAGAGAACGUGGCAGAGAUGCGUGGGUGCCUUCGGGACCUCUGAGACAGGUGCUGCAUGGCUGUCGCCAUGCUCGUGUUGUAAAAUGUUGGGUUAAGUCCCGCAACAAGCGCAACCCUUAUCCUUUGUUGCCAGCGAUCCGGUCGGGAACUCAAAGGAAACUGCCGGA
This 725-nucleotide ribosomal RNA is filed under the name uncultured Sodalis sp. RNAcentral describes it as "bacterial SSU rRNA". It matches the Rfam family "Bacterial small subunit ribosomal RNA", at positions 439 to 1156 of the family's 1533-position model. Lineage: Bacteria; Pseudomonadati; Pseudomonadota; Gammaproteobacteria; Enterobacterales; Bruguierivoracaceae. The record is from RNAcentral.